This is a non-coding RNA of Pelobates cultripes (western spadefoot toad), 1100 nucleotides long. NCBI's taxonomy places the organism in Eukaryota, Metazoa, Chordata, Amphibia, Anura, Pelobatidae. The record is from the annotation of a GenBank genome assembly.
UUUUUAACACAGCAGUAACCAGGAUGUAAACCUGAACUUCUACAGAACCCUAGGUUAGAUUCCUGUUUAUUAUGAGAUUGUAAAUUCCCACUGCGUGGAGGCCAUCUUCUUGAACGUCGGGAACAAGAACCUUGUUUGGCCUAGAGUAGAAUAAGAACCAGGAUAAAGUUCUGACUGCCCUCAUUUCCGAAGAAUCCUUGGAAAUAGUGACAGCGGAAGAAAGACGUAUGCCAGUACAUUACAAUGAGAGUAUUUCUAUUCAUUGAAGGGACCUGCUCUGAACAGGGAGGAAACUUGGGGAACCUGGCUUCUGUAAGGCUUGCCCUAAGGGUCAAGUCUGGAAAAUCGAAGUUCCUCUCCAGAACAUAAAACAACACAUGGACCUCAGGACCAAACUCUCUGAUUCCAAUUACCCCUGCCGAGCUUGACGGCUAAGUAAUUGUUGAUCCCUCUGAAAAGAAAACUGUCGAAAUAUCUACUAGAAAUGUUUGCACCACAGCAAGAUAACCGCCUACAGGCGAUAAAGAGCGCCUACUCUGAUUCCUCCUUGCCGGUUGACGUAUAUGAACCCAGUGUACAGGAGUCCACUUGAAUCUAUAUGGCCUUCCGCUGCAUCCACUGACUGGAGGGGUGAAGGCGGAAAGCAUUGCUGAAACCCCCGAAACUGCGGAUUUUCCCUCAACCUAAACCUCGAAGUAUGAUGGAAACUAGAUAAGCUCACCAAACAAUUACGAGAGCAUCUGUAAUGAACUUCAGACGCAAGAAACAGGCCUCCUGAAAGGAACUCUGAGGACUUACACCAAGAAAGUAGAGCUUUUACACGAUGGGAAAAAUUGAAGAAAAAAAACCCCACCCAUGUAGAGCCUCUACCUUUCCCGACUAGGCUUAUAGAAUCUCCCAUUUAGAGUCCACUAAAGGACUAAGCUCUGAUGGAACAAUAUCUUUCAAAUCCGGAUCUGCUUCUACCAACUCCCUUACUCUAUGGUUGGAAAAAGAAAACCAACAACCUGUUGGACUGAAACACGAGACUAAGGAACUCCUUGAAAGGGAAUAAGGAUCCCUGGAUGUCUGGUAGAACUGAUGGCGUCAGACAUGUCUAC